UGGGGAAUAUUGGACAAUGGGCGAAAGCCUGAUCCAGCCAUGCCGCGUGUGUGAAGAAGGUCUUCGGAUUGUAAAGCACUUUAAGUUGGGAGGAAGGGCAGUAAGCGAAUACCUUGCUGUUUUGACGUUACCGACAGAAUAAGCACCGGCUAACUCUGUGCCAGCAGCCGCGGUAAUACAGAGGGUGCAAGCGUUAAUCGGAAUUACUGGGCGUAAAGCGCGCGUAGGUGGUUCGUUAAGUUGAAUGUGAAAGCCCCGGGCUCAACCUGGGAACUGCAUCCAAAACUGGCGAGCUAGAGUAGGGAAGAGGGUGGUGGAAUUUCCUGUGUAGCGGUGAAAUGCGUAGAUAUAGGAAGGAACACCAGUGGCGAAGGCGACCACCUGGGCUCAUACUGACACUGAGGUGCGAAAGCGUGGGGAGCAAACAGG
This 429-nucleotide ribosomal RNA is filed under the name Pseudomonadota bacterium. Its description in RNAcentral is "Proteobacteria bacterium partial 16S ribosomal RNA". It matches the Rfam family "Bacterial small subunit ribosomal RNA", at positions 355 to 776 of the family's 1533-position model. The record is from RNAcentral. Lineage: Bacteria; Pseudomonadati; Pseudomonadota.